RNAcentral lists this long non-coding RNA (905 nucleotides) under Citrus sinensis (sweet orange). RNAcentral describes it as "long non-coding RNA (CSIN_LNC004786)". Lineage: Eukaryota; Viridiplantae; Streptophyta; Magnoliopsida; Sapindales; Rutaceae. The record is from RNAcentral.
CCCAAAAAAGGCUUCGUUUAUGUCUGAUGUGUUCUUUUCUUUUAGGCCAUGAUUGUUCAAGGUUAUUUAGGGCAAGGAGGAAUUGUUUCAGGCUUGGAUACGGAGGCUUCGUGAGCAUGGCUGUUUUGAAGUUGGCAUACUUUGGACUAAGUGAAUGGGGCAAUCGUAAAACUUUGUCCUCAUUUGCAAAUGGUUUCCAAUAGUUGCUAAGUUGUCGGAAAUCCCUUUUGAGUUUUCGGAGAAAUUCUUCUAGCCCUGAAGACUCUUUCUUCAGUCAAGUUUCUUGUUUUUUUUUUUUUUUUUUUUUUUUUUUUUUUUUUUUUUUUUUUUUUUUUUUUUUUUUUUUUUUUUUUUUUUUUUUUUUUUUUUUUUUUUUUUUUUUUUUUUUUUUUUUUUUUUUUUUUUUUUUUUUUUUUUUUUUUUUUUUUUUUUUGUUGCGACGGGAAACAUUUGCUCUUUAAUGGUGAACCAAACUUCAUUUGCAGCUUCUCAUCCAACAACUAAGGCCAGCGUAUCUUCCAUCAUCAUCUCCCUCAGCCAUGUUUUCAGCAAAUACGUCAUUGUUAAGCCAUGUUGUAAACUCGGGAUUGGCAGUUUCUUUUUCUCCUUCUUUGAUAGUCAUGUGAUGUUCUAAUUAGUUAUGUGAUAUUCUAAGCUGAUGCUUUGGAUCAUCAGCAGCACUUGAGACCUCCACAAGAGAUAAUUCUUAGAUGAAACUUGAUGAUAUUAAGCUUGAGCAUUGAUGAAAGGUUUGGAGAGUAAGUUUGGUUUCUUUUCGCGAGGAUUGAGCUGUUGAGGCCAUAAGGCUCAGAUACCAUGAAAGAAACAAUGUUAUUGUAAAUAAAAGUUGUAUUUCACUUAUUGUACUAAAUACAAGAGUAUGUACGAUAUUUACACAAAAAUAC